GUUUAUCUUCCCUCCCUGCUGUAAAACCUUCUGCCUGACGGUGAGGCAGAAGACACGAUGUAGGUCUGCAGGAACAUUUGUUCACAUGGGACCAGAGCGGGGAGAGGAAAGGCCACGUUUUGUUGCUGCCGAGGUGUCCUCCAAGACGGUUUCUGCACAGUGCAGCCAGGCAGGCAGAAGAGCCGCUGCCUCCGCUCUGCGGCCAUGGACAGCUAACUGCUAAAAACACCCCAAAAAGGCGAGCUCACUUGUCAGCCCGGGUCUCRGCAGGACCUGGGCAACUCUGAGCGAAGAGCUCUUUGAGGAGCAGAAGCCUGCCGAUACCGUGCAUUGCUGAAACAGAAACACCAACGGCUGCUGUCUGCCCAUCGCUGCCACCGAGCCUCCUCUCCCGCCCUGCUCCGGCUCGGCCGCUGCCUUCCCGGCUCCCUCUCCAGCCCGGAGGAGCCCCCAGGCCCUGAGAGACUGGGGUCUCGACUGGGAGACGCGCUGCUCUCGCCCGUGGCACGUCUGCGCGAGGACACACGCGCCUUUCCCCGCAAUGGGACGCCCCAGUGAGUCGCCCGGGCCCCUUCCCGGAUGGAUGGAUGGAUGGAUGGAUGAGUGUGGUGCCCGCACAUCCCCGGCUGCGGCACAGCGGUCCUGGAGCCGCCGGCGGGCUGCGACGACGGCGUUUGGCAGAGCAGCAACUCGGCCGCAUAGAAACACGCGCGGCAGGAUGGAGCUGGAAGAGGGGCCGCAGCAGGAGCUCGGCCGGUCGUCUGCUGCCGCCAGGUCGGACACGACGCCUCUGCCCGGAUGCGGCCUGCAGGUGGGAGACAUCAAAAUAGCCGUAGUAGAAGACAGCAGGCUAAGGCUAGUGGGGGUGGAAGCGUGCCUGGGAAUUACUCUUUUUGUUUGGCUUGCGAGGGGGGGAGAGGCGAAGCGGGCUGCCCCGGAGCGCAGGUCGGCCACCGYGCACGGCUUCGCCUCCUCGCCUCCCCGGGGAUUCACGGCUGGAGCGGCGGCCUGCGGGAACGCACGCGCCCCUGCGCCGGCGGUGCUUCCCAGCACGAAAUGCCUGGAAGAGCCCGGGCCCUGGCGACGGGCUUUACGAUGGCUGCCUGAUCCCGGUCUGGCCGUGAUCGGACACGGCAUUUUUAAGACCUUUUCUGCGGUAUCGACGGGUCCAGUUCCCAGCGGGUGAAUGAGUUUGCCAAAAGUCUGUCUGCGCGGUAAGGGCCUGCCUGGAUCCCGGCAGAGACCAGGCUUCAGCAGCUUUAGAAAUGCACCUUAUGGCCCUGGAGAUGGCCUGGGGCGUCUUGACUGCCGGCUGCAAGGAAAGGCUAUGGGCCCCCUAUUACUAGUUUUGCUAGUGGUGGUGGUGGUGGUGGUGGUGGUGGUGUUUCCUAUGGAUACAGAGAAAUGUGCUGUCUCUAGAGCGUAAUUCUGACCAUCUUGUAAACAUUACACAGAUGCAUUACACGGAUAUUUAUUAUCAUAAAAAGACACAAGGACGCCUCUAGAUGUGGGGGACACGAAUCACACCUAAUGCUGGAGGUCGGUCCAUAAUACCUUAAAUAACCAUUCGUAGUCCAAGUGCUAAUUAUCUGCUAAUGGGGUAUUAGUUCUCCUUCAGUUAUGUAAAAGAGCACAGCAUUCAGCCUGAAGAGUGAGUUUAAAUUGCUUUAUGCUGCCAGAGAGCAAACAGCCCUACAAGUUGCUUCCCUGGUUUUGGGCUGCAGGGCAUGGUGCCACUUGCGGAGGUGCUGGUGCUAAAGGGUCAUUUAAAGAAAACUUCUUGUCUGGGCUUAGCCGAGCCGGUCGGCUUGAGUCACCCUUGCAGAGCAGGCCAGGGCUGGUGGCUCCCGCGGAGGCCGGUGGCGCGUCAGGCUGCCAGGGAGCCUCCAGCCUCGUCGCAGGCGGCCAGCUGCUCCGCAAGCAGCCGAGCGCCUCGCGUGCGCCGGCUGCGCCUCCCCUGCGCUGCCCCAGACCGAGAACGUCGCGCUCGUUCCUGGGGACGAGUCCUUUGAGAAGCACCUCAGACCCCAGCCCAGUGGAAACGAAAGGAACCCAGAAAACUGGAUCACAGAGAGAGACUUGCUCUGAGCUGUGAUAAAAACAUGAAAACACGAUAUGUUUUUCUCUUGCAUAUUGCAAGUUAUUAGUAACGGUGCAACACUGUAAGUUAUCUUUACAGGAAUAUUCAGGAGACAAAUGUGUAGCAUGGAAAACUUAGUCCUAAAGGCGAUUUGUCAUGAAGUGCUGGUGCUCUGCCUGACUCCCACACCACGUCCUGGGGUGUUUAAUUGGAAAAGAAACCAAAAGGAAUACUUUUCUCAGUAAACUAUGUAUAGGGAAAAAUAUCUGUUUGUGCUUGUAGGGCAUCGCAUGACCUACGUCUUCAGCCCUGUUAUCAGUAGUGGUUAUUUUCCUGUAACUACCUGAGGGGGAGGUUGAUUCCUCUACAGAUGGAUAUUUUGUGGCAUUUCAGCUAAAUUCAGCUACAGUGUUUGACGGUAUUGUUCUAAAAGGGUUGCUAACUGCACUGCUAUCUUGAUUUUAGACUAUUAUAUGUCUUUUUUAAUGCAAGGAAAAAUGAUUAAUAGAAAUAAAUGCUCUCCCCAAACUUCCUAGAGCUGCA
Long non-coding RNA from Apteryx rowi (Okarito brown kiwi), 2623 nucleotides. The record is from Ensembl. Lineage: Eukaryota; Metazoa; Chordata; Aves; Apterygiformes; Apterygidae.